GUCCACGCCGUAACGAUGGAUGCUAGCCGUUGGUAAGCAUGCUUAUCAGUGGCGCAGCUAACGCAUUAAGCAUCCCGCCUGGGAGUACGGCCGCAAGGUUGAACUCAAAGGAAUUGACGGGGCCCGCACAAGCGGUGGAGCAUGUGGUUUAAUUCGACGCAACGCGCAGAACCUUACCAGGCCUUGACAUCCCGUGCUAAGCCCAGAGAUGGGUGGUCCCCGCAAGGGGCGCGGAGACAGGUGCUGCAUGGCUGUCGU
This 258-nucleotide ribosomal RNA is filed under the name uncultured bacterium. Its description in RNAcentral is "partial 16S ribosomal RNA". It matches the Rfam family "Bacterial small subunit ribosomal RNA", at positions 793 to 1055 of the family's 1533-position model. The record is from RNAcentral.